Non-coding RNA from Cinara cedri, 1043 nucleotides. The record is from the annotation of a GenBank genome assembly. Lineage: Eukaryota; Metazoa; Arthropoda; Insecta; Hemiptera; Aphididae.
UAUUAUACUGGAUACUGGGAAAAGGUUCUCAGUCAUCGACGAGGGAAAAACGCCGCCGAUCGAAACGCGUAUAUUGUAUAUAGUAGCAAUGUGGAAUAGUUAUUUAGCUUAUUGCUAAUAACCGCAGCAGCAUCCGGAAUUGAAUGAGUCGUCUCUCGCGUAUCCGUUGCGCAAUACCGUGGUAAAACAAAACGAACAAAUACGCAGUAGUCACCGUUUACUUUAACAUUAUUAUAUUCGUAUUUUAUUGUUUUACGGUUAUUAAAUUGAAUUGUUUUUAGUUUAUAUCAUUCUUUUAUACAUUACACUAAUCAACUUUUUCUCGUGUAUAGGUACCUCACCACCGUACACCACGCAGUCUCUGAUCCUCUGGAGAACGGAGUCAAGGCCAAACCGUUUUGUUCCGGGUGCGCCCCGUAUACAUAUUUAAUAUUAUAUUAUGUAUGUGUAGUACCUAUACCUAUAUAUACGGUGACCUCCAAAUCUCUUGCCACAGCACUAGCAAUAUGAAAUAAAGGCAACGACAUAAUGAAAUUGAAAUUGAAUUGACACUUAUAUCGUUACAAAAAUAAAAAAAACCUACCGAUACUCAAUGCCUUCAACGUUCGUAGAUACAAAAAUGGUAUAGGCUACCGUCGCUAAUGGUUUUGCCCUAUUCCAUUCAUUGCUCGCCGGGGUCUUGACCUUCGGAGGAAAAAAUAAAAUAAAAGGACGACCGUAUAAUAUUAUAUAUAAACUCGACUAGGGUUAAGUUUUUUUGUUUUCCUGUCGUUUUUACAAUUGUUAUUAUUUCGUUUUGACCGAAAUCGCCGGAAUUAAAAGUACUGAGAUACGAACACGCACGCGCGUACGGACCUAGUAUCACUUAAAAUGUGGUACGAAAGGAUUUUGGAAGUAGGCCAAACGACUGUGCGUAUGUGCGGUGUAAGUGUAUACUGGUGCUGCAGCACCGGUGUAUGUUGUGGAUGCGAAAUUUUUAUCGGUUGAAAAAAAAGAGACGUGCUCGCAAUGAAAAUAGCGAACCGACAAGCCAACAGCCAACA